This 854-nucleotide ribosomal RNA is filed under the name uncultured bacterium. RNAcentral describes it as "bacterial SSU rRNA". It matches the Rfam family "Bacterial small subunit ribosomal RNA", at positions 96 to 951 of the family's 1533-position model. The record is from RNAcentral.
CGGCGCACGGGUGAGUAACGCGUAUGCAACCCUCCUUUAACUGGGGGAUAGCCCGGAGAAAUUCGGAUUAAUACCCCAUAACAUUGCAGAAAGGCAUCCUUCAGCAAUUAAAGCUCCGGCGGUUAAAGAUGGGCAUGCGUGCCAUUAGCUAGUUGGUGAGGUAACGGCUCACCAAGGCUACGAUGGUUAGGGGGUCUGAGAGGAUGAUCCCCCACACUGGUACUGAGACACGGACCAGACUCCUACGGGAGGCAGCAGUGAGGAAUAUUGGUCAAUGGGCGCAAGCCUGAACCAGCCAUCCCGCGUGAAGGAAGACGGCGCUAUGCGUUGUAAACUUCUUUUCCAGGGGGCGAAUAGCUUCGACGUGUCGGGGUAUGACGGUACCCUGGGAAUAAGCAUCGGCUAACUCCGUGCCAGCAGCCGCGGUAAUACGGAGGAUGCAAGCGUUAUCCGGAUUUAUUGGGUUUAAAGGGUGCGUAGGCGGAAAAAUAAGUCAGUGGUGAAAACCUGCAGCUUAACUGUGGAACUGCCAUUGGUACUGUUAUUCUUGAGUAUGGUCAAGGUAGGCGGAAUGUGUAAUGUAGCGGUGAAAUGCUUAGAUAUUACACAGAACACCGAUUGCGAAGGCAGCUUACUGGGCCAUUACUGACGCUGAUGCACGAAAGCGUGGGGAGCGAACAGGAUUAGAUACCCUGGUAGUCCACGCCGUAAACGAUGAUCACUCGCUGUUGGCGAUACACAGUCAGCGGCUAAGCAAAAGCAUUAAGUGAUCCACCUGGGGAGUACGGCCGCAAGGCUGAAACUCAAAGGAAUUGACGGGGGCCCGCACAAGCAGUGGAGCAUGUGGUUUAAUU